UUGAUUGAAUCAAGUUACAAGAUAUUAGAACAAGAGUUUAAAACAAAUACAAGCUUCUUAAACAACCAGAUAUAACAAUAUAAACAAAUAGAGUAAAGAGAAGAAGCCCUCAAACAAGUUUUGUAGAUGAAGAAACUCGGCUUCUUCUUUACUUGACCCUCUUCUGAUUUCGCACGAGGUAGAGGAUCACUGAGGCAGCACACAGUUGGAGAGGAAGCUUUGGGAUUCACUCGGAUGCUCUUCUUCUCUUUCUUUUGCUUUGAAUGGCCCUUUUGUGCUUUUGGGAGGUUUCUCUUGAAAUCUCUUUGAAAUCUCUUCCCUAUGUGUUCUCUCCCACUUCCUUAACUUCUUCCCUAGCUCUCCCCUUGAUUUUAUAGCUUUGGAUGGCGUGGGAACAAAGAUCUAGCCGUUAGAGACAAAAAUAGAGCCGUUGGAGUUGAGAAAAAACUAGCCGUUAUGCCUCCCA
RNAcentral lists this long non-coding RNA (466 nucleotides) under Phoenix dactylifera (date palm). RNAcentral describes it as "long non-coding RNA (PDAC_LNC017645)". The record is from RNAcentral. Lineage: Eukaryota; Viridiplantae; Streptophyta; Magnoliopsida; Arecales; Arecaceae.